UACGGAGGGUGCAAGCGUUAUCCGGAUUCACUGGGUUUAAAGGGUGCGUAGGCGGGCAGGUAAGUCAGUGGUGAAAUCUCCGGGCUUAACCCGGAAACUGCCGUUGAUACUAUCUGUCUUGAAUAUCGUGGAGGUAAGCGGAAUAUGUCAUGUAGCGGUGAAAUGCUUAGAUAUGACAUAGAACACCAAUUGCGAAGGCAGCUGGCUACACGAAUAUUGACACUGAUGCACGAAAGCGUGGGGAUCAAACAGG
RNAcentral lists this ribosomal RNA (253 nucleotides) under uncultured bacterium. RNAcentral's name for it is "partial 16S ribosomal RNA". It matches the Rfam family "Bacterial small subunit ribosomal RNA", at positions 524 to 776 of the family's 1533-position model. The record is from RNAcentral.